UACAGAGAGUGCAAACGUUGUUCGGAAUUACUGGGCUUGAAGCGCACGUAGGCGGCGUUGUAAGUGUCAGGUGAAAUCCCACGGCUCACCCGUGGAACUGCCCGGCAUACUGCGAUGCUAGAGUGUGGUAGGGGAGAGCGGAACUCCUGGUGGAGCGGUGAAAUGCGUAGAUAUCAGGAGGAACACCGGUGGCGAAGGCGGCUCUCUGGUCCACAACUGACGCUGAGGUGCGAAAGCUAGGGGAGCAAACGGG
Molecule: ribosomal RNA, 253 nt
Filed under: uncultured bacterium
Lineage: Bacteria
Description: partial 16S ribosomal RNA
Rfam family: Bacterial small subunit ribosomal RNA
Source: RNAcentral